This 72-nucleotide transfer RNA is filed under the name Camelus bactrianus (Bactrian camel). It matches the Rfam family "tRNA". From Rfam's summary of the family: Transfer RNA (tRNA) molecules are approximately 80 nucleotides in length. Their secondary structure includes four short double-helical elements and three loops (D, anti-codon, and T loops). Lineage: Eukaryota; Metazoa; Chordata; Mammalia; Artiodactyla; Camelidae. The record is from Rfam by way of RNAcentral. RNAcentral also lists the same sequence under 3 other names.
GAGGAUAGAGCUCAGUGGUAGAGAGCAUGCUUAGCAUGCACAAGGUCCUAGGUUCAAUCCCUAGUAUCUCCA